CCAUUUCCUACAGACCUGCUCCUCAGAGAGACAAGGCCAAGGACCUGCCACUGCCGCGUCUGUAGAGUACCUGCAGGAGGUGGCCAGGACUCGCCUGUGUCUUGACAGAGCUUCUGACCUCCUCUUGGAGUUUCAGGAGGGAUCAGAGCUGGCUGAGGAACAGCAGGGCUACCUGCAGCACGUCCAGCAGUUCUGCACCCAGGCAGGGAAUGACUGGCACCGCGUGUACCUGGUCCGGAGGCUUGCGAGCCUUCGUGGGAUGGAAUUUGUGCAAAGCCUCUCCAGGCAGGGCCAUCGAUACCAGUGGGUGUUUCCCAAGGGAGUCAUUGCACAGCAGGUGAGACGCAGGUUCCUGGCAGAGCGGGAAGCUAUGGGCACCACUCCUCACCCUCCCAGCCCUCACGACAGGCAGGACGCAGGCAGGCAUCUGGUCCUUGGUCUCUGCUUCAGGGUGGGCUUAGGCCACUUGCUAUAGGGCAAAGGUAGGCAUGGACACAUGUGUGUGCACACUUGUGUGUGUUUCUGGUUUGUUGUUCACCUGCAUUUUAUCUAGGCUUCACUUCGGGGAAAGUGAAUGAGUAUUUUUUAAAAAUAUUUGCUUCCAAUAAAUUAAAAGGUGACCUCUUGCAGGCUGUGUCUUGUACUCUGUGCCAGGCAGAGGUGGGUAUACUUGAAAGACAAGUGUAAUGGGUUUGGCUUUCAGGCUUCUCUGUUCCCAGUGCUCAAAAUUUGAAAAUUCUUACUGUCCUAGGGUUAAAAAAUAUGGCACUGCAGCUCCUGGCAUCUUUAAUAUGACCAACUGGGACUCAGAGAUGACAUGUUUUU
This 825-nucleotide long non-coding RNA is filed under the name Ictidomys tridecemlineatus (thirteen-lined ground squirrel). RNAcentral's name for it is "lncRNA (ENSSTOG00000032207.1)". The record is from RNAcentral. Lineage: Eukaryota; Metazoa; Chordata; Mammalia; Rodentia; Sciuridae.